UAGGGAAUCUUCGGCAAUGGGGGGAACCCUGACCGAGCAACGCCGCGUGAGUGAAGAAGGUUUUCGGAUCGUAAAGCUCUGUUGUUAAGGAAGAACGAGUGUGAGAAUGGAAAGUUCAUGCUGUGACGGUACUUAACCAGAAAGGGACGGCUAACUACGUGCCAGCAGCCGCGGUAAUACGUAGGUCCCGAGCGUUGUCCGGAGUGAUUGGGCGUAAAGCGAGCGCAGGCGGUUAGAAAAGUCUGAAGUGAAAGGCAGUGGCUCAACCAUUGUAGGCUUUGGAAACUGUUUAACUUGAGUGCAGAAGGGGAGAGUGGAAUUCCAUGUGUAGCGGUGAAAUGCGUAGAUAUAUGGAGGAACACCGGUGGCGAAAGCGGCUCUCUGGUCUGUAACUGACGCUGAGGCUCGAAAGCGUGGGGAGAGAACAGG
Molecule: ribosomal RNA, 429 nt
Filed under: Bacteroidota bacterium
Lineage: Bacteria; Pseudomonadati; Bacteroidota
Description: Bacteroidetes bacterium partial 16S ribosomal RNA
Rfam family: Bacterial small subunit ribosomal RNA
Source: RNAcentral